AACGAACGCUGGCGGCAUGCCUAACACAUGCAAGUCGAACGAGACCUUCGGGUCUAGUGGCGCACGGGUGCGUAACGCGUGGGAAUCUGCCCUUUGCUUCGGAAUAACAGUUAGAAAUGACUGCUAAUACCGGAUGAUGUCUUCGGACCAAAGAUUUAUCGGCAAAGGAUGAGCCCGCGUAGGAUUAGGUAGUUGGUGGGGUAAAGGCCUACCAAGCCGACGAUCCUUAGCUGGUCUGAGAGGAUGAUCAGCCACACUGGGACUGAGACACGGCCCAGACUCCUACGGGAGGCAGCAGUGGGAAUAUUGGACAAUGGGCGCAAGCCUGAUCCAGCAAUGCCGCGUGAGUGAUGAAGGCCUUCGGGUCGUAAAGGACUCUUUUACCUAGGAGUAGAUAAUAGACAGUACCUGGAGAAUAAGACUCCGGCUAACUCCGUGCCA
Molecule: ribosomal RNA, 441 nt
Filed under: uncultured bacterium
Lineage: Bacteria
Description: bacterial SSU rRNA
Rfam family: Bacterial small subunit ribosomal RNA
Source: RNAcentral